AUACGGAGGGUGCAAGCGUUAAUCGGAAUUACUGGGCGUAAAGCGCGCGUAGGUGGUUUGUUAAGUGGGAUGUGAAAGCCCCGGGCUCAACCUGGGAACUGCAUUCCAAACUGAUGAACUAGAGUACGGUAGAGGGGGGUAGAAUUCAGAGUGUAGCGGUGAAAUGCGUAGAUAUUCUGAGGAAUACCGGUGGCGAAGGCGGCUUCCUGGUCCGAAACUGACGCUGAAACGCGAAAGCCAGGGGAGCGAACGGGAUUAGAAACCCCGGUAGUCC
RNAcentral lists this ribosomal RNA (274 nucleotides) under uncultured bacterium. RNAcentral's name for it is "partial 16S ribosomal RNA". It matches the Rfam family "Bacterial small subunit ribosomal RNA", at positions 523 to 796 of the family's 1533-position model. The record is from RNAcentral.